RNAcentral lists this ribosomal RNA (460 nucleotides) under uncultured bacterium. RNAcentral describes it as "partial 16S ribosomal RNA". It matches the Rfam family "Bacterial small subunit ribosomal RNA", at positions 338 to 795 of the family's 1533-position model. The record is from RNAcentral.
CCUACGGGUGGCUGCAGUGCGGAAUAUUGGUCAAUGGACGCGAGUCUGAACCAGCCACGUAGCGUGAAGGCUGACUGCCCUCUGGGUUGUACACUUCUUUUAUAAAGGAGUAAAACCAGGCACGUGUUCCUUUUUGCAUGUACUUUAUGAAUAAGGAUCGGCUAACUCCGUGCCAGCAGCCGCGGUAAUACGGAGGAUCCGAGCGUUAUCCGGCUUUAUUGGGUUUAAAGGGAGCGUAGAUGGGUUGUUAAGUCAGUUGUGAAAGUUUGCGGCUCAACCGUAAAAUUGCAAUUGAUACUGGCAGUCUUGAGUACAGUUGAGGUAGGCGGAAUUCGUGGUGUAGCGGUGAAAUGCUUAGAUAUCACGAAGAACCCCGAUUGCGAAGGCAGCUUACUAAACUGGGACUGACAUUGAUGCUCGAAAGUGUGGGUAGCAAACAGGAUUAGAUACCCGAGUAGUC